This 376-nucleotide long non-coding RNA is filed under the name Lathyrus oleraceus (garden pea). RNAcentral's name for it is "Pisum sativum (pea) long non-coding RNA (PSAT_LNC031040)". The record is from RNAcentral. Lineage: Eukaryota; Viridiplantae; Streptophyta; Magnoliopsida; Fabales; Fabaceae.
UCAAAGUUGCAGCAUCAAGGCACCAUUUCUUCUUCCAUUUUUCUCCAAUACCAAGAGGCAGUGGACCUUGCAUCCACUAGGUAAUGCUAUCACUCUCUUCCAUGGCCAUAUAUCCAUGCUUAUCCUCAUGCUUACCUUGUUCAUUACUUUUUUUCAUGCCAUUCCAUGCUUGCUUUAUGUUGUUAACACUAUGCCAUGCUUGUCUAUGAAGCCCUCAACGUGAGGCAUUGCCAUUAAGUUUGAAUGUGUGAUGUUGUUUUCUACUCAUGCCGUGUUCAUAUGGUCGUCUUGCUGUCCACAUUUCUUUAUGUUCAAGCCAUUAUUUUCACUGAAAUAAAACACCAUGAUGUUCUACUCAUUGCAUACUUGAACUUUG